UACGGGAGGCAGCAGUGAGGAAUAUUGGGCAAUGGAGGCAACUCUGACCCAGCCAUGCCGCGUGCAGGAAGACGGCCCUAUGGGUUGUAAACUGCUUUUAUACAGGAAGAAACUUAUCCACGUGUGGAUAACUGACGGUACUGUAAGAAUAAGGACCGGCUAACUCCGUGCCAGCAGCCGCGGUAAU
Molecule: ribosomal RNA, 187 nt
Filed under: uncultured bacterium
Lineage: Bacteria
Description: partial 16S ribosomal RNA
Rfam family: Bacterial small subunit ribosomal RNA
Source: RNAcentral